GAUCCUGGCUCAGGACGAACGCUGGCGGCGUGCCUAACACAUGCAAGUCGAGCGGGGACUUGUUGAGGAAGUCUUCGGAUGGAAUCGAUAAGUUCUAGCGGCGGACGGGUGAGUAACGCGUGAGCAACCUGCCCUCCACAGGGGGAUAACGCACCGAAAGGUGCACUAAUACCGCAUAAGACCACGGCACUGACAUGGUGCAGGGGUCAAAGGAGCAAUCCGGUGGAAGAUGGGCUCGCG
This 240-nucleotide ribosomal RNA is filed under the name uncultured bacterium. RNAcentral's name for it is "partial 16S ribosomal RNA". It matches the Rfam family "Bacterial small subunit ribosomal RNA", at positions 15 to 235 of the family's 1533-position model. The record is from RNAcentral.